This 1308-nucleotide long non-coding RNA is filed under the name Numida meleagris (helmeted guineafowl). RNAcentral's name for it is "lncRNA (ENSNMEG00000012183.1)". The record is from RNAcentral. Lineage: Eukaryota; Metazoa; Chordata; Aves; Galliformes; Numididae.
AUGCCAUCCCCAUGGGGGCACGCGUGCAGCGUGCAUGACUGCUGCCCAUGCACUGUAAUGGUGAUGGCACAGGUGGGACUGUGCUGUCACCCACUGGUGUCCCAACACACUAAGGACACUGGUGUGGAGGGAGUCGCUAUGGUGCCUCCGAUGCCACCUGCCCACCUCCCCACAUCAGAGCAUCCCAACACCCAGAGCCAUCUCACAGCGCUGAGCUGCAGCAGAUGCUGGAGUAGAAACAGCCCCAGGGAGACCUGCUCUGCAUCUGGCUCCUGCAUAGCUCUCAGCCCUCUCCAUCCCGAUGCCAUCCCAGUCCUCCAGCUUAAUAUCAACUACAGCACAAGCACUCUGUGUGCUGACAGCCGAGCCACCCGCCAGCAGCUCCUGAAUCACGCUGUUCCUGGCGCAGGCAGUCCUCCCACCAAUGCCAGGAAGCAGGAGGAUGCUUGCAAGGCCAGCCGGGCACCGAGAGCAUCGGGCUCGGGAGACGUCAGCUACGGGGAAAGGAAGUGGGGAAGCUUCUUCCAUCAUCCCUGUGGGAUGGGAGCGCGCCAAGCGCCAACGGCACCACGCGGAACACGGGAGGCUCACGCUGACCUGUCCUGCAGCAGCUCUGCAGAGGGAUGGAGGCUUGCAGGGUCCUCCCACCAAAGGAGAAGCUGCAUCAUCCAGUGCAACAGCAAUGGAGCCAGAAAAUCAUCACCGCACAAAUCCAACACCAAGCCGGGGAGCGAGGCGCACACAUCCAUCCCUGCGCUUCUCAUCCAGCGGAGCACAGUCCUCCAGGAAAGGAUAGAAAUGGGACCAACCUCCCAGUGCUGGCGCCAAACCAUCCCCGUGCCAGGGAUGCAGUGCCCGAGCUCCAGCACCGCCACGGGAGGUGAGCAUCCCCAGCGCCAACAUCCCGGUGGUUCACCCAACACCAAGCCUAAAAUCCCUCCGCACGCCGAGCCUGUGCCAUCUCCGCAGCACCACACCAACAGGAGAGGGAGGAAAGCCCCAGCAUCGUCACAGCCCCGAGGGAACGCCAGGAGGCCGGGCCCCCUGACACCCACUGCCGCUGCACCCUGGCACUGCCACGUCCCCGCUCUCCUCCCCCUCGCCAUAAGAGGGGAUAACGCAGCCUCGCUGAGCGGAUUACUGCCUGGAAAGCCCUGGGAGAGCCUCACCAGGCCAAGGGGCUGCCCGCGGCCAGCAGGGCUGUGUGGGGCUGUGGGUCAGCCCUGUGAGAGGAGGAGGAGGAGGAGGAAGAGAAGGAGGAAGAGGUGGUGGCAGCAGGAGGAAGGCCGGCAAGGCAGGGAGGGCUGA